This 73-nucleotide transfer RNA is filed under the name Rhodocyclaceae bacterium. RNAcentral describes it as "tRNA-Thr". It matches the Rfam family "tRNA". From Rfam's summary of the family: Transfer RNA (tRNA) molecules are approximately 80 nucleotides in length. Their secondary structure includes four short double-helical elements and three loops (D, anti-codon, and T loops). Lineage: Bacteria; Pseudomonadati; Pseudomonadota; Betaproteobacteria; Rhodocyclales; Rhodocyclaceae. The record is from RNAcentral.
GCCGGUUUAGCUCAGUUGGUAGAGCAACCGCCUUGUAAGCGGUAGGUCGUGGGUUCAAAUCCUACAACCGGCA